RNAcentral lists this long non-coding RNA (1228 nucleotides) under Gallus gallus (chicken). Its description in RNAcentral is "lncRNA (ENSGALG00010003023.1)". The record is from RNAcentral. Lineage: Eukaryota; Metazoa; Chordata; Aves; Galliformes; Phasianidae.
GGCGGGGCUAAAGGGCUUAAUCCUCGUGGCCCGAAUUAGGAUAGGAUAACAGCAGCCGCGGCAACAACCAAUCAGAAGGCGCGAUGCAGAUAGCGGUUCUCAAGCCGCCAAUGGGCGGGCGAGGCUCGGAGUUGGGGUAAUGACAUCAGUCAAUCAGGAGCCCGGAGACAGAAGCUCCUCCUUCCUUCUCCCCGUCCCCGGGGGCGGGCUACUGGGGUGCAGAGAAGGGGUGGCGGUGCCGCGCGUGCGCAGGGCUGUGUUUCCUUCUAGCACCUUAAGGUGUGAAUCUGUGGUGGCUUCAGAUGAUCUGAAUCCCAGCGUCUCCCACCCCCUCUUCGCAUUCCCAGCUCCACACGUUCCCAUCUCUGUUCCCGUGCCUGCCAUGAGCACUUGUGCUGCCUCUCGCUUCAGCAGCGAGGCAUUGCCAACAAGGCUUAUUUGGGCUGUACAGGUACCUGAGUGGAGGAGACGAAGGAGGCCAGUUCACGUUUGGUUCCUGUUCUGAUUCAAGUCACAUCGCUCUGGAGUGCUCCCAGAUUUGGUAACAGAGGUACAAAGCCGAGUGAUAAGAAUACCAACAUGCAAAAUCUGAUUGGAGUCCAAAGCUUACAGAAUUCGGGUGCACUUAGAUGUGGAUUUUGCCCCCCUUGGUUAUUCAAGAAUUACCUGUGAAAUUAAGAGUCAAACUAUUGCUUUUGAUAGACUAUUCCCAAUGACCGGCUAUGCUGUGUGCAACAUAAAGAUCCACUUAGAAUCACAGAAUAUCCCGAACUGGAAGAGACGCACCGUGAUCAUUGAGUCCAACUUCUGGCCCCACACAGAACCACCCAAAAACCAAACCCUAUGCCUGAGAGUGUUAUCAAGAUGUUUCUUGAACUCUGCCAAGCUCAGUGCCAUGAAUGCUUCCCUGGGGAACCUGUUCUAGAGCCUGACCACUCUCUGGUGAAGAGCUUUAUCUUGCCAUCCAACCUGACCUUCUCCUGAACCUCCACUUCCCUUAGUCCAGCCUCUUCAGGAAAUAAUGGGAAAGUCAAGAGUGUGGUGGCAGAAAUAUGUUAGCAGUGGAGGAUAACUGCCAUCAAGGUUCCCUUGCUGGGUCUGCCCCACAUACUUUGGUAGAGGGCACAUUAUAGGUGGGGCAGCAAAGCCCUGAGUAUUUUGGAAAGAGCUGCAGCUCCUGGACCAGCUCAGAGGUGAAAGCAAAAAAGUGGAUAUGGAGCUGUUCUAC